Molecule: ribosomal RNA, 432 nt
Filed under: uncultured bacterium
Lineage: Bacteria
Description: partial 16S ribosomal RNA
Rfam family: Bacterial small subunit ribosomal RNA
Source: RNAcentral
AACGAACGCUGGCGGCAUGCCUAACACAUGCAAGUCGAACGAGACCUUCGGGUCUAGUGGCGCACGGGUGCGUAACGCGUGGGAACCUGCCCUUAGGUUCGGAAUAACUCCCCGAAAGGGGUGCUAAUACCGGAUAAUGUCUUCGGACCAAAGAUUUAUCGCCUUUGGAUGGGCCCGCGUUGGAUUAGCUAGUUGGUAGGGUAAAAGCCUACCAAGGCGACGAUCCAUAGCUGGUCUGAGAGGAUGAUCAGCCACACUGGGACUGAGACACGGCCCAGACUCCUACGGGGGGCAGCAGUGGGGAAUAUUGGACAAGGGGCGAAGGCCUGAUCCAGCAAUGCCGCGUGAGUGAUGAAGGCCUAGGGUUGUAAAGCUCUUUUACCCGGGAUGAUAAUGACAGUACCGGGAGAAUAAGCUCCGGCUAACUCCGUG